This is a small nuclear RNA of Catagonus wagneri (Chacoan peccary), 104 nucleotides long. NCBI's taxonomy places the organism in Eukaryota, Metazoa, Chordata, Mammalia, Artiodactyla, Tayassuidae. The record is from Ensembl.
GUGCUCGCUUUGGCAGCACAUACACUAAAACUGGAACGAUACAGAGACUAGCAUGACCCCUGCGCAAGGAUGACACGCUAAUUUGUGAAGUGUUCCAUUUUUUU